RNAcentral lists this transfer RNA (71 nucleotides) under Leptobrachella alpina. Its description in RNAcentral is "tRNA-Tyr". It matches the Rfam family "tRNA". From Rfam's summary of the family: Transfer RNA (tRNA) molecules are approximately 80 nucleotides in length. Their secondary structure includes four short double-helical elements and three loops (D, anti-codon, and T loops). Lineage: Eukaryota; Metazoa; Chordata; Amphibia; Anura; Megophryidae. The record is from RNAcentral.
GGUAAAUUGGCCGAGAGAUUAGGCGGUAGGUUGUAGCCCUAAAGACAGAGGUUUUAGUCCUUUAUUUACCA